Molecule: ribosomal RNA, 253 nt
Filed under: uncultured bacterium
Lineage: Bacteria
Description: partial 16S ribosomal RNA
Rfam family: Bacterial small subunit ribosomal RNA
Source: RNAcentral
GACGAACCGUGCGAACGUUGUUCGGAAUCACUGGGCUUAAAGGGCGCGUAGGCGGGCUUGCAAGUCAGGGGUGAAAUCCCACGGCUCAACCGUGGAAGUGCCUUUGAUACUGCGGGUCUUGAGGGAGGUAGGGGCGUGCGGAACUUCCGGUGGAGCGGUGAAAUGCGUAGAUAUCGGAAGGAACACCGGUGGCGAAAGCGGCGCGCUGGACCUCUACUGACGCUGAGGCGCGAAAGCCAGGGGAGCAAACGGG